This 887-nucleotide ribosomal RNA is filed under the name Trichoderma reesei. RNAcentral describes it as "partial large subunit ribosomal RNA". It matches the Rfam family "Eukaryotic large subunit ribosomal RNA", at positions 70 to 985 of the family's 3401-position model. Lineage: Eukaryota; Fungi; Ascomycota; Sordariomycetes; Hypocreales; Hypocreaceae. The record is from RNAcentral.
AGGGAUUGCCCCAGUAACGGCGAGUGAAGCGGCAACAGCUCAAAUUUGAAAUCUGGCCCUUACGGGUCCGAGUUGUAAUUUGUAGAGGAUGCUUUUGGCAAGGCGCCGCCCGAGUUCCCUGGAACGGGACGCCACAGAGGGUGAGAGCCCCGUCUGGCUGGCCGCCGAGCCUCUGUAAAGCUCCUUCGACGAGUCGAGUAGUUUGGGAAUGCUGCUCAAAAUGGGAGGUAUAUGUCUUCUAAAGCUAAAUAUUGGCCAGAGACCGAUAGCGCACAAGUAGAGUGAUCGAAAGAUGAAAAGCACCUUGAAAAGAGGGUUAAAUAGUACGUGAAAUUGUUGAAAGGGAAGCGCUUGUGACCAGACUUGGGCGCGGCGGAUCAUCCGGGGUUCUCCCCGGUGCACUUCGCCGUGCCCAGGCCAGCAUCAGUUCGUCGCGGGGGAAAAAGGCUUCGGGAACGUGGCUCCCCUGGGAGUGUUAUAGCCCGUUGCAUAAUACCCUGCGGUGGACUGAGGACCGCGCAUCUGCAAGGAUGCUGGCGUAAUGGUCACCAGCGACCCGUCUUGAAACACGGACCAAGGAGUCGUCUUCGUAUGCGAGUGUUCGGGUGUCAAACCCCUACGCGUAAUGAAAGUGAACGCAGGUGAGAGCUUCGGCGCAUCAUCGACCGAUCCUGAUGUUCUCGGAUGGAUUUGAGUAAGAGCAUACGGGGCCGGACCCGAAAGAAGGUGAACUAUGCCUGUAUAGGGUGAAGCCAGAGGAAACUCUGGUGGAGGCUCGCAGCGGUUCUGACGUGCAAAUCGAUCGUCAAAUAUGGGCAUGGGGGCGAGAGACUAAUCGAACCUUCUAGUAGCUGGUUUUCCGCCGAAGUCUCCCCUAAGGAAUAAGG